This 1728-nucleotide long non-coding RNA is filed under the name Homo sapiens (human). RNAcentral's name for it is "HSALNT0384362". The record is from RNAcentral. Lineage: Eukaryota; Metazoa; Chordata; Mammalia; Primates; Hominidae.
GCUGAGGGGAUAUGACCAAAGACUAUAUCCAGUGCAGUCCAAAUUACACAAGGCAAAAUACAAAGACAAUGCCAAGAUGGGUAGAAAAGUUAGGAUAUAGGUUAGGAUGGAAGAUGUGACCUGUGAGAUUCAAUGUUGGCAGAGAAAUCAUCUGUGUCAAAUUCCACAAACCAGAAUUCACAAAGUUGCUGAGCCCACACAUGUAGGAUGAAAGAGAGUAAUGAAAACUAAUGACAGGAAACCAGCACCCUGACAAACAGAGUGGACCCCUGUGAAUUCCUUUUGUAGCAGACUCCAUUGGGUAACAACACUGGAGUGCAUUUUCUGCUUCCUCCAGUUUAAGUAAAUCCUACUUUUGUGCAGGUAACAAUGUGCCUGAUGCUGCAAAUGAAUCAUAACUGCUGUAGCCAAUCGCUGAGAUUCCAGUUCACCUUGCCAGUGAUUGAUGUAGAGAUUGGCCAAUGACAUCUAAGAAAACGACUGCAGUGACGAAUUCUGGGAAUUAUUUUCCUGCAGUAAAAUGCAAGACGUGUGAAGGAGAAACUCCUCUUCUCCUUCCUUCUGAUGAGAGUGCUGCCCUGUGAGAACGUGAUAUGGGGUAGAUGGCAGACAUCUUGGAAGAAGGAAAGAAAGGCCAACGGAAGCACAGGGAUUGCAAACCACUGCCCUGAUACCAAAAAGCCUCUGAAUCAACCCUGGAACUGGGAGGAUGAACCAGUAAUUCAGACUACAGGAAAAAAGCAGUAAGACAGUUCAGAAAAGCUUAAAAAUCUUGAAGUCUGUUCCAUGAAGGAAAGGGUCACAACGAAUGUCGGCACAGGUACUUGGAGGAAAGUGGGUAGAGAGGGCCAUACUGAGAUACUGCAUAAAACAAAUAUGCAUAAAAGAAACAGAAAACCUUGUCUCACUUUCUCGGUUUCAUGCACCUGGAUUCUGUUGUUUAUUUUACCCAAGUACUUCACAAACCUGAUGCCAACAGCAACUGUGAAAUGGAAGCAACUCUACAAAUUAUUGCCAUCAUGAGACUAUCAUUAGGUCUACAUAGCUCAAGCUUCACUUGGAGUUCAAUUGUGUGAUUCAGAAGCACAGCUAGGAUAAGUCAGAGACUGGAAAGGGGAAGAGGAGAGACGUGCAGGAUAUUUUUUUUUAACCAGUGAAACAACUCCCGACUUCCAGGACCAGACAAUAUACUUAAUGCACAAAACCAAUAUAUUUUAUGGCCUAAAUGAAAAAAAGUAAAGUGGAAGGUCGGGCGCUGUUCCUUUAAGAUGCUUCCAGAAUCAAAUACCACUCUUGAAAGGGCUGCCAAACAAUGUAUCCAGGUAAAGAAUGAAAAAAAUAUAUUCAGAGGAAAGGCAGGAGGAUGUGUGGAAAGCUCAGUGAGAUUAUGGAAGUGCAGUAAUUGAAUAUGACACAAGAGUCAAGUGCAAGAGGGAACUGGCUGGAGUGCAGUGGCGCAAUCUCAGCUCACUGAAACCUCCACCUCCCAGGUUCAAGUGAUUCUCCUGCCUCAGCCUCCCGAGUACCUGGGAUUCCAGGUGAGCGCCACCACACCCGGCUAAUUUUUGCAUUUGUAGCAGAGAUGGAGUUUUGCCAUGUUGGCCAGGCUGGUCUUGAACUCCUGACCUCAAAUGAUCCGCCCGCCUGGGCCUCCCAAACUGCUGGCAUUACAGGCGCAAGCCACUGCACCUGGCCUUAAUCACUUUUUGCUGAAAUAAAUUGCACACU